This 476-nucleotide ribosomal RNA is filed under the name uncultured bacterium. Its description in RNAcentral is "partial 16S ribosomal RNA". It matches the Rfam family "Bacterial small subunit ribosomal RNA", at positions 28 to 506 of the family's 1533-position model. The record is from RNAcentral.
GAUGAACGCUGGCGGCGUGCCUAACACAUGCAAGUCGAACGAAGCACCUUACCUGAUUCUUCGGAUGAAAGUUUGGUGACUGAGUGGCGGACGGGUGAGUAACGCGUGGGUAACAUGCCCUGUACAGGGGGAUAACAGCUGGAAACGGCUGCUAAUACCGCAUAAGCGCACGAGGAGACAUCUCCUUGUGUGAAAAACUCCGGUGGUACAGGAUGGGCCCGCGUCUGAUUAGCUGGUUGGCAGGGUAACGGCCUACCAAGGCAACGAUCAGUAGCCGGUAUGAGAGGAUGAACGGCAACAUUGGAACUGAGACACGGUCCAAACUCCUACGGGAGGCAGCAGUGGUGAAUAUUGCACAAUGGGGGAACCCCUGAGGCAGCAACGCCGCGUGAGUGAAGAAGUAUUUCGGUAUGUAAAGCUCUAUCAGCAGGGAAGAUAAUGACGGUACCUGACUAAGAAGCUCCGGCUAAAUACGU